AGUGAACGCUGGCGGUAGGCCUAACACAUGCAAAUCGAACGGCAGCACAGGAGAGCUUGCUCUCUGGGUGGCGAGUGGCGGACGGGUGAGGAAUACAUCGGAAUCUACUCUGUCGUGGGGGAUAACGUAGGGAAACUUACGCUAAUACCGCAUACGACCUACGGGUGAAAGCAGGGGAUCUUCGGACCUUGCGCGAUUGAAUGAGCCGAUGUCGGAUUAGCUAGUUGGCGGGGUAAAGGCCCACCAAGGCGACGAUCCGUAGCUGGUCUGAGAGGAUGAUCAGCCACACUGGAACUGAGACACGGUCCAGACUCCUACGGGAGGCAGCAGUGGGGAAUAUUGGGCAAUGGGCGCAAGCCUGAUCCAGCCAUACCGCGUGGGUGAAGAAGGCCUUCGGGUUGUAAAGCCCUUUUGUUGGGAAAGAAAUCCAGCUGGCUAAUACCCGGUUGGGAUGACGGUACCCAAAGAAUAAGCACCGGCUAACUUCGUGCCAGCCGCCGCCGUAA
This 506-nucleotide ribosomal RNA is filed under the name uncultured bacterium. Its description in RNAcentral is "partial 16S ribosomal RNA". It matches the Rfam family "Bacterial small subunit ribosomal RNA", at positions 29 to 523 of the family's 1533-position model. The record is from RNAcentral.